RNAcentral lists this small RNA (1374 nucleotides) under Drosophila pseudoobscura pseudoobscura. Its description in RNAcentral is "GA30615". The record is from RNAcentral. Lineage: Eukaryota; Metazoa; Arthropoda; Insecta; Diptera; Drosophilidae.
CUUUCACCACAAACCGAAUAUAGUACCCAUAUACUCUUCGAGUACCGGGUACAAAAAAUCUCAGUGCUGGCUAGCAACAUGAGUCCAAGCACUCGGGCUGCGCAACAGGUGAAGCCGAAGCAGAACAGAAUCCGACCAACAUAAACCAACAACAAGGCUUGGUUUUUUGUUUAUGAAUGAAAGGCGAAAAGCAAAAAGGGCGAUAAAUUUGUGUAGGCAAAAAGAGAAAUAAGCUAACCAAGAAGGAUCGACGAUAUGAUGCCCUGUAUACAUAUGUGUGCACAUGUGGUGUUUCGCUGGGAUACGAAUAGAAUUAGAAACUCAAUAUGUAUACAUAUGAUCCAUUGUGUAUUAUUAUAAUUAAAUUAAACGCAUGAAACGUUAGGGUUGCGAGAAAUCAACUGCAUAUUUGUAUCUCCAGCGAACCAUCACGGAUCAGGGCCAUGACAAGUUGUAUUGUAAAAAUGAUUAUAUAAUCUGCCCACUCGUCCUACAUCGUUAAGCACACUUGACACGUACUGGUGACUCCCUUAAUUCCCACUAAAACGCGCCUUGCCAUAAAUCCAAUAUACCACUCGCUACCCAUUGCAGCAAAGGUAUCAACGCGUCAGGAGACGAUAAAGGUGAACAGAAAUGGUGAGCGACGGAGAGAGAGAGAGAGAGAGAUAAAGAGCGCAGAGAGCGGGCGAUCAUGAUAUAUCAAUAAAUGGUACGGUCACUCCGCUCUUUGAGGGACUUAAGCUGCUCAAUUGCGAUCGUGCAAAACAAACAAGAGAGAAGCGGCCGGAAGAGCAGAUAUAUGGCCAGAUCGGAGCGAUCGGAGCCAAGUCAGACAAUUGGGCUGCUGAGGCCUCGCCAUUCCCGGUUCUACGUUUGGGCCUUAACGCCGUUCGUUUGGCCAACGCGCACCGAGUCUUUCGUUCGUUCGUUCGCUGUCGUCGUCGUCGUCGUCGUCGGUGGGUCUGGUCUAUACCUCACCUCGCUGGCCGCUCUCUUUUUUUGUACGUGUGUACGGAUACGUGUGCGCCUGUGUGCGCGAGUGUGUGUUAACAAAAUGUGAUUAGCAAAAAUACAAAGAAAUCAGGCGUAGUGGAACGCAGGGCAUUGUGGCUAAAACAACGGCAGCAGCGUUGGCGCACUCACACAUCAGGAGGUCCAAUAAAGAACAAAUAAUUCAAGAUAUACGCGAAUAUACAUAAUAUACAUAAUAUACGGACGAAAUAUACGAAAAUUUGCAUAAAAAGCAAUGCGCUGGCGCUGCAACAAAGCACGGCCCUAAAAAAUAAGUAACACUAACGGCAAUACCAAGUUUUUUGCUUUAUCGGCAACACCAGCACCAGUACCAGCAACAACACCAGCAACAACAACGGCAAC